GCCUUACAUUAAUUAUGCGAGAUUUAGAAGUGAGAACUUGAAUCCACAACUUCAAUGGAAUCUAGAGGAGCUCACGUAGUAUUCUCAUAGCAACUCUAACAAAUUUAGACCGAGAAAUUUUGAGAAAAUAGUAAGUCAAACAUAAGAAAGUAACAUAGAGAAGGAGAUGAUAUGGACCUUAAAGAGUAGACUUCUCUGAAUAUUUGAGUUACUAAACAAAUACAAGGCUUCGAAUCCAAAACACAGUGAGAAAAUAGCAGGAACUAAAUCGAGCAGGGACCACGAACCAGUAACAAAACUCGAACAGCAAUUUCAGGCGAGGCAAUCGGACUCGCCGACGACCUCUGUUUUAAGGUUAUCUUAAGCCCGAAUUUUCGAUGGUUUAAGCUAGGACUACGUGGUUAUUUGAAGGGCAGAAUGUGGCAGCAUUUUUUGGUUAUUUGUUGCUUUUUGGACUGGCUUUCAUUGGAAUUUGGUGUGGGAUUGGAGCUCGUUUCCGGGCUGUUUUGUGUGACGCUUUUCAACUUCUUUUGGCUGGUGUUUUGAAGCUAUUACAGCAGGUUUUUGACAGCUUUUCUAGGUGUAUUCUAGGUGGUUAACGGCUGGUAUUUAGUGGUUGUUGAUGAGUGAUUCAGAGCUGAUUUUUGGGGUGGCCUGACUUUGGAGUAUCGCUGGUUGAGGAAGCUGAACAGGGGAUUCCCGUUUU
RNAcentral lists this long non-coding RNA (706 nucleotides) under Nicotiana benthamiana. RNAcentral describes it as "long non-coding RNA (NBEN_LNC002964)". Lineage: Eukaryota; Viridiplantae; Streptophyta; Magnoliopsida; Solanales; Solanaceae. The record is from RNAcentral.